RNAcentral lists this long non-coding RNA (390 nucleotides) under Nicotiana benthamiana. RNAcentral's name for it is "long non-coding RNA (NBEN_LNC032964)". Lineage: Eukaryota; Viridiplantae; Streptophyta; Magnoliopsida; Solanales; Solanaceae. The record is from RNAcentral.
AGGGUAUUUACCAAAUCAAGACUUCGAAACCUACUGGAGAGAAUAUGACCUAACAAAACUAAUCUCAAUACUUUGUUCUUUGUCAAGAAAAACUGAACGACAUCAGUGUUGUUGAGUUCAAACUUCACAGCUCGAAGGAAUAGCACCCCAAGAUCGUGCAUGCUACCAGGUUCGAUGAAAAAUAAUUUUGAACUUUUAGGGGUCGAACUCAAAUUUAAGAUUCGAGAAGCUUGGGGAAGAUUUGAGGGGAAACAACGAUGGAUUAGGUAUGAGGGGAGGAAGGGGGUUCUGGGGGUGUUAUUAUUUAGUGGAUUGGGGUUGUUUAUGAUUACGCUGCCGGCAGAGAUAAUGGAGAGAGUUGGAGGGCAGAGCUAGGGUUAGAGGUUAGAA